GCCCCGCCCCUCUCCCGUUUCUCCGGACUUGGGGCGGAACCUGGACGUUGAGGCGGAGAUAAGGGGCGAAUGUGAAAAAUCAUUUUGUUACCCACCGUAAAGGAAUGUUAAUGAAUUGCUCUACUUGAGGCCCUGAGAGAGAUGAACAAAGUGAGACUCCAAGACGUCCACAAGGAUUCAAGUUUGCUACAGUCAACUUUUCCAGAGGGAAAUUGUCCCAGCACAAGUUCUCUGGACGAGGAAUACUAAGAUGUGGUUCACGUUCCUCAAAUUAAAAACUAAACUGAAACUAAAUUGCCCUGGAGCUACGCAAGGAGUUAAUAGCAAAGAGGGAAGAUGGAGGUGAAAUUCACUAUGUUCAUCUAAUCACUGAGUGGAGAACUGGAAUCUAAAAGUUUCUGACUCUACUUCCUUUCAUCCCUAAGACCAAGAGCCACCUUGUAACUGCAGAUAUGCAUUAGAUAGCAUCAUAAAAAUGAAUUAUUUAAAAGCC
Long non-coding RNA from Bubalus bubalis (water buffalo), 493 nucleotides. RefSeq lists it as uncharacterized. The record is from RefSeq and is a predicted model, not a curated record. Lineage: Eukaryota; Metazoa; Chordata; Mammalia; Artiodactyla; Bovidae. The transcript is spliced from 2 exons.